CAAAACAUUAUUCACAAGGCUCACGCAUCAAUGCAUAUUUAUGGUGGCAACUACAUGUAGGAGCGAAUUAUAUUAAUCCAGGUAACGAGAUAAAGUAGCAUGUAUUUACCUCAAUCUAUCUUAUUU
Long non-coding RNA from Hydra vulgaris (swiftwater hydra), 126 nucleotides. RefSeq lists it as uncharacterized. The record is from RefSeq and is a predicted model, not a curated record. Lineage: Eukaryota; Metazoa; Cnidaria; Hydrozoa; Anthoathecata; Hydridae.